RNAcentral lists this transfer RNA (74 nucleotides) under Aureobasidium pullulans. RNAcentral's name for it is "tRNA-Asn". It matches the Rfam family "tRNA". From Rfam's summary of the family: Transfer RNA (tRNA) molecules are approximately 80 nucleotides in length. Their secondary structure includes four short double-helical elements and three loops (D, anti-codon, and T loops). Lineage: Eukaryota; Fungi; Ascomycota; Dothideomycetes; Dothideales; Saccotheciaceae. The record is from RNAcentral. RNAcentral also lists the same sequence under 1 other name.
UCUUCCGUGGCGCAAUUGGCUAGCGCGUUCGACUGUUAAUCGAGAGGUUCCUAGUUCAAGCCUAGGCGGGAGAG